Molecule: ribosomal RNA, 427 nt
Filed under: uncultured bacterium
Lineage: Bacteria
Description: bacterial SSU rRNA
Rfam family: Bacterial small subunit ribosomal RNA
Source: RNAcentral
CGAGCGGAAGGCCCUUCGGGGUACUCGAGCGGCGAACGGGUGAGUAACACGUGAGUAACCUGCCCCGGACUUUGGGAUAACCCUCGGAAACGGGGGCUAAUACCGAAUACGACUUCCGAUUGCAUGAUCUGGAAGUGGAAAGUUUUUCGGUCUGGGAUGGGCUCGCGGCCUAUCAGCUUGUUGGUGGGGUGAUGGCCUACCAAGGCGACGACGGGUAGCCGGCCUGAGAGGGCGACCGGCCACACUGGGACUGAGACACGGCCCAGACUCCUACGGGAGGCAGCAGUGGGGAAUAUUGCACAAUGGGCGGAAGCCUGAUGCAGCGACGCCGCGUGAGGGAUGACGGCCUUCGGGUUGUAAACCUCUUUCAGCAGGGACGAAGCGCAAGUGACGGUACCUGCAGAAGAAGCGCCGGCCAACUACGUGC